CCCUAUGGGGUGCAGCAGGCACAGUCUAUUCCGUGGUGCGCCACAUGGGAGAAAACACCGACCUUGCCGGACUUGCACUGGUUGGCGCUAUGGGCGACCGGCAGGGGAUGAUUGGAGCCAACCGGACUAUUUUAGAGGAAGCUGUUGCAUGCGGUGCAGUUGAGGUCAGAGCAGGCCUGAAGAUGUCCAUGGAUGGCCCGGCUGAAGCUGCGUUCUCAGAGAGCAUUGAGCCGCUUUUGGAUUUUGCUGGCAACCGGGAACUGGCUGGCAAGUUUUUGGCGAAUCUGAAGAUCGAAGGAAAUGUUGAGAGCCUGAAAAGAGACGAUCUGACGAGGCUAUGCACUGCCAUUACUCUGAAAUUGCUCAUGCAGGGAAGCUUUGCAGCCGAUUCGGUCAUUGGCGGGGGGGC
RNAcentral lists this ribosomal RNA (409 nucleotides) under uncultured prokaryote. Its description in RNAcentral is "partial 16S ribosomal RNA". The record is from RNAcentral.